RNAcentral lists this ribosomal RNA (468 nucleotides) under uncultured bacterium. Its description in RNAcentral is "partial 16S ribosomal RNA". It matches the Rfam family "Bacterial small subunit ribosomal RNA", at positions 28 to 507 of the family's 1533-position model. The record is from RNAcentral.
GACGAACGCUGGCGGCGUGCUUAACACAUGCAAGUCGAACGGAAAGGCCCUGCUUUUGUGGGGUGCUCGAGUGGCGAACGGGUGAGUAACACGUGAGUAACCUGCCCUUGACUUUGGGAUAACUUCAGGAAACUGGGGCUAAUACCGGAUAGGAGCUCCUGCUGCAUGGUGGGGGUUGGAAAGUUUCGGCGGUUGGGGAUGGACUCGCGGCUUAUCAGCUUGUUGGUGGGGUAGUGGCUUACCAAGGCUUUGACGGGUAGCCGGCCUGAGAGGGUGACCGGCCACAUUGGGACUGAGAUACGGCCCAGACUCCUAAGGGAGGCAGCAGGGGGGAAUAUUGCACAAUGGGCGGAAGCCUGAUGCAGCAACGCCGCGUGCGGGAUGACGGCCUUCGGGUUUUAAACCGCUUUCGCCUGUGACGAAGCGUGAGUGACGGUAAUGGGUAAAGAAGCACCGGCUAACUACGUG